RNAcentral lists this transfer RNA (88 nucleotides) under Candidatus Terrybacteria bacterium RIFCSPHIGHO2_01_FULL_58_15. RNAcentral describes it as "tRNA-Ser". It matches the Rfam family "tRNA". Rfam says of the family: Transfer RNA (tRNA) molecules are approximately 80 nucleotides in length. Their secondary structure includes four short double-helical elements and three loops (D, anti-codon, and T loops). RNAcentral also lists the same sequence under 1 other name. Lineage: Bacteria; Candidatus Terryibacteriota. The record is from RNAcentral.
GGAGGGUUGGCCGAGUGGUCUAUGGCGCUGGUCUUGAAAACCAGUUGGGGGAAACCCCUCGCAGGUUCGAAUCCUGCACCCUCCGCCG